RNAcentral lists this ribosomal RNA (1258 nucleotides) under uncultured bacterium. RNAcentral's name for it is "partial 16S ribosomal RNA". It matches the Rfam family "Bacterial small subunit ribosomal RNA", at positions 181 to 1456 of the family's 1533-position model. The record is from RNAcentral.
UCGGGAUUAAAAUACCGAAUCAAAAGAUUUAAAAAUAAUUGCUAAAAGAUAUGCUUGUAGAAGAUUAGGUAGUAGGUGAGGUAAUAGCUUACCUAGCCAACGAUCUUUAGUUGAUUUGAAAGAAUGAUCAACCACACUGGGACUGAGACAAGGCCCAGGCUUUUUUUUGAAGCCAGCAGUAAGGAAUAUUGGACAAUGGGCGAAAGCUUGAUCCAGCAAUACCACGUGAGGGAUGACAGCUUAUUUUGGUUGUAAACCUCUUUUAUUAAGGAAGAUCAUGACUUACUUAAAAAAAAAGUCCCGGCUAACUUCGUGCCAGCAGCCGCGGUAAUACGAAGGGGGCGAGCGUUAUUCGGUUUAAUUUGGUGUAAAGGGUUCGUAGACUGUAAUAAGGUUGUUUAAAAAAAAAUUGAGAGACUCAAUCUCUUUAAAAGAAUUUAAAAACACUUUUACUUGAGUAUAAAAAAAGAUUGUAGAGUUUUAAAGGGAGAAGUAAAAUUCGAAGAGCUUUAAAGGAAUAUCAAAAGCGAAAGCAACAAUCUGGUUUAUAAUAACUGACGUUGAGGAACGAAAGAAUAGGUAGCAAACAGGAUUAGAGACCCUGGUAGUCUAUUUUCUGUAAACGAUGAGUGUUCGUAUUUAGAAUAUUAUAUUUUAGAUACUAAGUUAACACGUUAAACACUCCACCUGAGGAGUAUAGUCGCAAGUCUGGAACUCAAAGGAAUUGACGGGGGCCUAUACAAGUGGUGGAGUAUGUGGUUUAAUGCGAUAAUACGCGCGAAAUCUUACCAGCUUUUGAAUUCUUUUUUUUUAGAAGUAAUAUUGUUUAUUUUUAAAAUAUUAAGAACAGGUGUUGCAUGGCUGUCGGCAGCUCGUGUUGUGAAAUGUUUGGUUAAGUCCUUUAACGAGCGCAACUCUUUUUUUUAGUUGCAACUUUUAGUGCACUCUAAAGAUAUUAUUUAUGAUGAGUGAAUGGAAGGAGAAUUACGUCAAGUCCUCAUGGCCCUUAUAAGCUGGGCUACACACGUACUACAAUGGUAAUUACAAAACGCAGCAAUAACGUAAGUUGGAGCAAAUCGUCUAAAAGUUAUCUUAGUUCAGAUUGUUGACUGUAACUCGUCAACAUGAAGUUGGAAUCACUAGUAAUCGUAAAUCAGAAUGUUACGGUGAAUUUGUACCUAGGCCUUGUACAUACCGCCCGUCACAUGCCGGGAGUUAGUUUUACUUUAAGAAAGUGGAAAUAACUUAUAGAAACUUG